UACGUAGGGUGCAAGCGUUAAUCGGAAUUACUGGGCGUAAAGCGUGCGCAGGCGGUAAGUUAAGUCUGAUGUGAAAGCCCCGGGCUCAACCUGGGAAUGGCAUUGGAAACUGGCUUGCUGGAGUGUGGCAGAGGGGGGUGGAAUUCCGCGUGUAGCAGUGAAAUGCGUAGAGAUGCGGAGGAACACCGAUGGCGAAGGCAGCCCCCUGGGCCAACACUGACGCUCAGGCACGAAAGCGUGGGGAGCAAACAGG
Molecule: ribosomal RNA, 253 nt
Filed under: uncultured bacterium
Lineage: Bacteria
Description: partial 16S ribosomal RNA
Rfam family: Bacterial small subunit ribosomal RNA
Source: RNAcentral